UCAGGAAUACAGACAGACGUAGGAAUUGCUUAAAAACAAGAAGUUCUCCCACCCUUGUUGGAGCGAAUGCGCGAGUCUGACAGUGAACCUUUUGGGAAAGAGCCAGCAUUGUAACCGUGCUCGGUGACUUCUCUGGCUUUAUAGGGAACAGAUGUGAGGAUAGCAAGGGGCGCACACGUGAAAUGCCUGGCAGGUACCCCUUUGUGGCUCUACUUACUUCUUGCCAUUCCUCUGCCCUCCAAGUGUAGAGGGGACACCGUGGGCCUUGGCAGUCGCGUUCCGACUCCGGUCUGGUGUAUGGGUUGCACUCGGUCUCUCUGGCUAUUUUGUGUGUUCCGAUCUGACAGCCCACAUGCCUCUGCUGUACGCCUCGGCCACAGGACACAGAGCACUAAGAAGACAGAGAACACAUUAAGUUUUGCAAAAUUAAAUGACUACAUUUACAGUCAUGGAGGAGAGACAUUGCCUCAACUCGGUUUCUUCUGAUGUGUCUUUGAAACAGAGCCCUGCAAAGCUAAUCUGCUCAACCUUCACCUACUGGGUUCAAUGAAUAUGAAAAGCUGCCUUCCUGAAACUUUUCCUUCAAAGAGGGAAUGAUCUCCUGGAAUUCAAGCUUCUACAAGGUGGCUACCUGGUGUUUUCCACUUUUGCCGUCUCCUAAAAAGCAUCAUUCAAGCCUUGCCCUUUCAACCCACUGAACACAUAAACAUGCUUUCUCCUUAACUGAACUUAUGGCCACGAUGAACUUGAACUCUGAGAUUCACAGAGGAGAGUUUGUUUUAACAGCUGCUUUUACAAUGAAGCCCUGGAGUUACUACUCUCAAGACCCCUGGUUCUGAUAGGCCAUCUUUUCACUGUCCUCUGCAUUUUCUAAUGCCCAGCUGUCAAGGAACACCCACUGAAGUUUUCCAAAACAAAGGCACGAAACACAAGAAAGGCAAGAGAAUGCUAAUCACCAGAUGCAUGGGCAUCCUAUGGGGGAACCCCUUACAUGUGGAAUACGGUUUUUCUCCCCAAUUUAUUUUUAUAAAUUUAUUGAUUUCUUUGCUAGUUUGUUAUUAAUUGUUAGAGAUGUCCUGUUGCCUGAGGUUGCCCUGUCCGAUAUGGUAGCCACCAGCGACAGGUAGCUAUUUAGAGUAAUUUAAAAAUUACAUUAAAAAUGCAGUUUCCUUGUCACUUAACCAUGUUUCAAGUGCUCAGUAUUAACCACAUGUGACUAGUGGCUUCCAUAAAGGAAGGCAAAAAUAGAGAACAUUUACAUCGCUGCAGAAAGCUACUAGAUUUUUUUGGCCAAGGCAUAAGCUCUUUCUCAUAAGAGAAAGGGGAUGCAGAUCUUGCUAAGAGUGAUGGAUUUCUGGGUUCAGCCUACAUGAGUCAUCUUCCAUACUACCCCUGGACAUGCUUUCCUUGGCUGCCAAUUUUCUAUUUUAUAAAUUUCAGGAAAGAGAGAUUAUGGUUGUUAAAACCAUUCAUGACAAUGAUCCCACUUUAGAGAAAACAACAGCAACAAGCAAAGAAGAUGGUGUGGAGAUCCGCACAUUCCACAUCUUUUAAUUGGUACCCAUUAAAUAACAAAGGGAAAAAGUACCCUCAGACCACAACUCUCCACCUUGUGUGGAGGCCAAGGACCCAGCAGGGAGAAGGCAGAAGAUUAGGUUCUCCACUCAUCCUGGCUCUCAGACCACUGAACUCACAUUUGGGUUCUAAUGGAAUGGUGAUUGGAAGCAUAUUCUCCAAUAGGAGGUUUUUAAAAGUUCUGUGCCAUCAGCCAGGCAGCAUCUGUCAUUUAAAAUGACUGGCCAGUUGCACGUUUAAAAGCAAAGAUAAAAUUGCUAAUUUAUACUUACUGAAUAAACAUCAGCAGUAUCCAUGAAGGUACCUACCCUAAUAGCAAGUUGUAUUUUUAUUUUUAUGGUGGUGGCGAAGCUGCCAGGAAAACCAAAGCAUCAGUUCUUUAAUUACAUUUGUUUAGUAUUGAUUUAAUACUAAAAUUUCUCUUGCUCCCUUAGAACAAAGAGCUCUAACUUGUACACUGCUGUAUCCUUAGCACCUGGAACAGUCCCUGGCCUACAAUAGGCACUUAGAAAGUAUUUGUUAAAAAUUGAUUUUUUUUUUUUAAAGAAACAACCCAGAGUUUUUUUAUUCUGCCCCAACCCCCAACCCCUGGCAUUAAAAUAAAUCUUCCUCAACUGCCAUCACUAAUCGCCAGGAUUCCCUCCUAGCCAAUUAUGCUUGGACUCAACCUCUACCUCCCACUCCACAUUCCAAAGUUUCUAUUUCUUUCCAUUCCAGAAGGGCAACUCCACAACAGGAGUGAGGGAGAGGACCUGGACUCCUCCUCAGAGUCCAAUAACACUCCUAACCCUGCUCCCCCAACCUGUGGACUUUUUAAAUCCAUGAAAAUAGAACCUGUCAAGCUACCACAAAAUAGCAUCAGAAGGCAGGAUCAGUCUUUCAUAGGCAUACAAUCUCUGUAAAUACUGAAAAAAGAUUAUUAAAAGCCUGCUAAGUUUUGUCUCCAGUGAAAUAGAUGCAGGCAAGUAUUUUGAUUGUUCUGAACACAUUAGAGAUGAGUGCUACACAGAACUAAGGUAAACUUUGUAAAUUCGUAUGUCAUAACACUUUGUUCCACAAAAAACUAUCUUAUUUUUUAUACUCCAUACUGAUACAGCCAAAUAAUGUGGCUCUUAUUUUCUAAAGAUGCCAGCAAUAUGUUUAAACAUGUCUUCAUUGUAGUAAAAGUAUCAUAUUUAUAAAAAAUACAUAUGCAUUUAAUGUGAUAUUCCUUAUAGUCAAAAUCUUGAUAUCAUCCUGUUAAUCUGGCUAAAAAUGUAUCUGUAAAAUGAAAGAGAGGAAUAUUUUGCCAUUCCCUAAACAACAGUUGUUUGAAGCUUUUGUAAUUGCUGGUUAUGGGAAUUUACCAAUAACAGGAAUGAAUUUGGAUUUUCUUUUGCUGGAAUCAAAUGGACAAUGUCAUAAUUAGCUAAAUAAUGUUGAGGCUAAAUGAAGUUUGAGUUUUAGGCACAUCCUUUAUGGAAUAUAAACAGGAACCUAAAAGUUCAUUCUGAACAUAGGUUGUUUCUUUCUGCCAAAACAAGAUUAAUAGUCAGUACCCUAACGACAAGGUCCUAUCACUGAAGUAGAUUAUCGGCUAGUCAAAUGGGUUCCUAACAGCACCUCCCUCAUGGGUUAAAACAAGAGGGUUAAUGUGAUGUGUAUUUGCUUAAUUUGGCUUGUUAUACAGUAAACACACAGCAAACGUUAGCUAUUGUUAUCUUCAUUUCCUUUGGAGAAGUUAUCUUAUUUCUCACCUUAUUAAAAAUAAACCCUAACUCAUACAGGGACCCUCCUUACCUUGGUCCUUUCACCCAUGAAUACCAUAAUAACCUAUACUGCAAAAAGGAGGCUCAGGAGGAGGAUGAGGUAUCAAUAGGCCUCCGGGUCAUUUUUAUGAUUUAGGUAUUUUUUGAAAAGGGUAGGCUCUCUUGAAACUUCCAAGGUAGUUGUUGUAGUAUUUUAUUUUCCUUUCAUAAGAAAUGCUUUCUGAAAUGUAUUGCAGUGAACAAAUAACAAAAUUGACAAAUGCUGUAAGCCUUUUACAGUUAUCUGAACACACAGAAUAAAGUGUAAUCAAAUUUGUGCACAUUAGGUUUGCUUUUUCCUGUACCUAGCUGUCUCUUAUGUGUUCAGAACCAUUUCUUCCAAUCACCUUUUUUUGUCUUCUGGCUAUAAUUUAUCAUUAUCUACAAAUUCAAUAAAUGGAGCAUGC
Molecule: long non-coding RNA, 3769 nt
Filed under: Homo sapiens (human)
Lineage: Eukaryota; Metazoa; Chordata; Mammalia; Primates; Hominidae
Description: HSALNT0312198
Source: RNAcentral